UACGUAGGUGGCAAGCGUUGUCCGGAAUUACUGGGUGUAAAGGGAGCGUAGGCGGGACUGCAAGUCCAGUGUUAAAUCUAUCGGCUCAACCGGUAGCUGCGCUGGAAACUGUGGUUCUUGAGUGAAGUAGAGGCAGGCGGAAUUCCUAGUGUAGCGGUGAAAUGCGUAGAUAUUAGGAGGAACACCAGUGGCGAAGGCGGCCUGCUGGGCUUUUACUGACGCUGAGGCUCGAAAGCGUGGGUAGCAAACA
This 250-nucleotide ribosomal RNA is filed under the name uncultured bacterium. RNAcentral's name for it is "partial 16S ribosomal RNA". It matches the Rfam family "Bacterial small subunit ribosomal RNA", at positions 524 to 774 of the family's 1533-position model. The record is from RNAcentral.